GACGAACGCUGGCGGCGUGCCUAAUACAUGCAAGUUGAGCGCUGAAGGUUGGUACUUGUACCAACUGGAUGAGCAGCGAACGGGUGAGUAACGCGUGGGGAAUCUGCCUUUGAGCGGGGGACAACAUUUGGAAACGAAUGCUAAUACCGCAUAAAAACUUUAAACACAAGUUUUAAGUUUGAAAGAUGCAAUUGCAUCACUCAAAGAUGAUCCCGCGUUGUAUUAGCUAGUUGGUGAGGUAAAGGCUCACCAAGGCGAUGAUACAUAGCCGACCUGAGAGGGUGAUCGGCCACAAUGGGACUGAGACACGGCCCAAACUCCUACAGGAGGCAGCAGUAGGGAAUCUUCGGCAAUGGACGAAAGUCUGACCGGGCAACGCCGCGUGAGUGAAGAAGGUUUUCGGAUCGUAAAACUCUGUUGGUAGAGAAGAACGUUGGUGAGAGUGGAAAGCUCAUCAAGUGACGGUAACUACCCAGAAAGGGACGGCUAACUACGUG
RNAcentral lists this ribosomal RNA (497 nucleotides) under uncultured bacterium. Its description in RNAcentral is "partial 16S ribosomal RNA". It matches the Rfam family "Bacterial small subunit ribosomal RNA", at positions 28 to 507 of the family's 1533-position model. The record is from RNAcentral.